RNAcentral lists this ribosomal RNA (443 nucleotides) under uncultured bacterium. RNAcentral describes it as "partial 16S ribosomal RNA". It matches the Rfam family "Bacterial small subunit ribosomal RNA", at positions 338 to 795 of the family's 1533-position model. The record is from RNAcentral.
CCUACGGGAGGCAGCAGUGGGGAAUAUUGGGCAAUGGGCGCAAGCCUGACCCAGCAACGCCGCGUGAAGGAAGAAGGCUUUCGGGUUGUAAACUUCUGGUAUGAGGGACGAAGAAAGUGACGGUAACUCAGGAAUAAGCUACGGCUAACUACGUGCCAGCAGCCGCGGUAAUACGUAGGUGGCAAGCGUUAUCCGGAUUUAUUGGGUGUAAAGGGCGUGUAGGCGGGAAAGCAAGUCAGAUGUGAAAACUCAGGGCUCAACCCUGAGCCUGCAUUUGAAACUGUUUUUCUUGAGUGCUGGAGAGGCAAUCGGAAUUCCGUGUGUAGCGGUGAAAUGCGUAGAUAUACGGAGGAACACCAGUGGCGAAGGCGGAUUGCUGGACAGUAACUGACGCUGAGGCGCGAAAGCGUGGGGAGCAAACAGGAUUAGAUACCCGAGUAGUG